CUGGCGGCGUGCCUAAUACAUGCAAGUCGAACGGUCUUUCGAUGGAAGCUUGCUUCCACUGAGAAGAUAGUGGCGAACGGGUGAGUAACACGUGGGGUAACCUGCCCAUAAGAGGGGGAGUAACAUCCGGAAACGGGUGCUAAUACCGCAUAGUUUUCUUGAUCGCAUGAUCGGGAAAGGAAAGACGGCCUUUGUGCUGUCGCUUAUGGAUGGACCCGCGGCGUAUUAGUUAGUUGGUGAGGUAACGGCUCACCAAGACGAUGAUACGUAGCCGACCUGAGAGGGUGAUCGGCCACAUUGGGACUGAGACACGGCCCAAACUCCUACGGGAGGCAGCAGUAGGGAAUCUUCCGCAAUGGACGAAAGUCUGACGGAGCAACGCCGCGUGAGUGAAGAAAAGGUUUUUCGGAUCGUAAAACUCUGUUGUCAGAGAAGAACAAGUUGGAGAGUAACUGCUCCAGCCUUGACGGUAUCUGACCAGAAAGCCACGGCUAACUACGUGCCAGCAGCGGC
This 513-nucleotide ribosomal RNA is filed under the name uncultured bacterium. Its description in RNAcentral is "bacterial SSU rRNA". It matches the Rfam family "Bacterial small subunit ribosomal RNA", at positions 36 to 518 of the family's 1533-position model. The record is from RNAcentral.